GAUGAACGCUGGCGGCGUGCCUAAUACAUGCAAGUCGAGCGAACAGACGAGGAGCUUGCUCCUCUGACGUUAGCGGCGGACGGGUGAGUAACACGUGGAUAACCUACCUAUAAGACUGGGAUAACUUCGGGAAACCGGAGCUAAUACCGGAUAAUAUAUUGAACCGCAUGGUUCAAUAGUGAAAGACGGUUUUGCUGUCACUUAUAGAUGGAUCCGCGCCGCAUUAGCUAGUUGGUAAGGUAACGGCUUACCAAGGCAACGAUGCGUAGCCGACCUGAGAGGGUGAUCGGCCACACUGGAACUGAGACCCGUUCCAGACUCCUACGGGAGGCAGCAGUAGGGAAUCUUCCGCAAUGGGCGAAAGCCUGACGGAGCAACGCCGCGUGAGUGAUGAAGGUCUUCGGAUCGUAAAACUCUGUUAUUAGGGAAGAACAAAUGUGUAAGUAACUAUGCACGUCUUGACGGUACCUAAUCAGAAAGCCACGGCUAACUACGU
This 496-nucleotide ribosomal RNA is filed under the name uncultured bacterium. Its description in RNAcentral is "partial 16S ribosomal RNA". It matches the Rfam family "Bacterial small subunit ribosomal RNA", at positions 28 to 506 of the family's 1533-position model. The record is from RNAcentral.